RNAcentral lists this long non-coding RNA (628 nucleotides) under Salmo salar (Atlantic salmon). Its description in RNAcentral is "lncRNA (ENSSSAG00000098300.1)". Lineage: Eukaryota; Metazoa; Chordata; Actinopteri; Salmoniformes; Salmonidae. The record is from RNAcentral.
GCAGUGAAAAAGAAUACCCACAGACAAGGCACGGGUGGUGGGUCACCAAAGGCUGACCUUACCCCAGCAGAGGACAUGGCCUUGGAGCUAAAUAAAGGCAGGCCCGUCUUAGAGGGGAUCCCUGGGGGGAAAGAGACGAGCAUAGGUUCCUCCCAAGAUGCCACCCGCUUCAUUCAAGUGUCUGGCAGCACUGUGUUCCUGUUAGAGCCACCAGCACAAGCACCAGACGAUGCUGGUCCAGGUGAAGGCCCCAGUGCAGCAGCAACAGCACAUGAUGGAGACGAUGAGGAGGAGACCAUCUCUCUGGAUUCCAGAAGGCAUGAGGACCCAGAUGCUAUACAGUGGGAAAACCAGCCUGGCAACAUAGUGCGUAUUAAUAAAAGGACACCACAUCCUGCCAAAUUCCAGCUGCGCUAAUUGUAUUGUGUUCACAGAGCUCACAAGCUAUCAGAAAGUUGUAUGGCAACCACCUCCGGCGCCAAAUAGAACUGGCAGACAUAGACAUUCAGUACAAGAAGAAAAAGAUGGAAAAUCUUGCACUGGAGUCUGAAAUAAAAAAGAGGACAAUUAGGAAACUGGACCUUGAAAUAAAAAAACUUGAGAGGGAGCUCCAAGAAGAUGACACAGC